Long non-coding RNA from Sapajus apella (tufted capuchin), 4913 nucleotides. RefSeq lists it as uncharacterized. The record is from RefSeq and is a predicted model, not a curated record. The transcript is spliced from 3 exons. Lineage: Eukaryota; Metazoa; Chordata; Mammalia; Primates; Cebidae.
ACCCAAACCCCAAACCAUAUAUAAAAUAAAUAAGUUCUCUCCCUCCAAAAAACCUAAAACUCUUAAGGUUUUAUGUCUAAUCUAUCAUCUAUCUCUCCAUCUAUCUAUCUAUGUUUGUACAUAGCAUAAGGCAGACCACCUGUUAUUCUUCAGAGUUGAAUAUUCAGAUAAACAUAUAUAAGAAGCAAAAAUAUGAAAAUAAUUAUGCAUAUAUUAAUUUUUGUACAUUUUCUUAAGCUAUCCCAGGGCCUUCCUUCCAUUUACAGUUAGGCUGUGAAUUGUUUCCAAUUCAUUAGGAAAAAUGCCCUUUCAGCCAGCUGGUAAAGUUAAGAGCAUGCCGAUUUAAAUUUAUUUUCUUCACUUUUGUUUCUAUCUCCUCUUCCUCAGAAGUAUCGAGGUAUGUUAGUGACAUCAGCUGAUACAUUCUAACUUCUUUCAGAAAAGAAACAAACAAAAACUGAAAAAUGCACUGUUCAAACUCCUUUGGCUCCUUGGUCCCAGAAGAAAAUAUGGGAAGGAAGAAUCAUUUCUCUCCGUGAUAUGAUCUUGAAUGUAGGCCAUGUUUACUCAACUUACGAAAGGGAACACAUCUUCCCUUUUUAACAAAUGUGUUUUAUCUCACAGGAUUCCAUAGUCAUUAUAAUGAAAUAGAAACAGAACCUUGUGUUUAGACCACACUAACUCCCUUCUUACCCACAGUUAUUCUGUUUACUGACACUGUUUUGCCAUUCUCUUUGGUUGUCUCUUCUGGGCUCAUGCUGCUGAGUGAAGAUUUUUUCUUUUGCCUUUCUUGGUGACGGUACUGACAUUGCUACCAGAGGAGAGGUGUUGACACAUAGCUGACAUCCCCAAGGCCCAGCUUGUAGGAGACUGUGACUCUCACAUCUAUCUAUCUUUUUUUUUUUUUUUUUUUUUUCUGGCUGAGUCUGGUUCUGUUUGAUUUCUAUCCCAAAUGAGAUUUUUAGAGCAUUUGAGGAAAAUCUUUUCAGAAAGUGAAACAAAAUGGAAAAAAAAAAAAAGUUUCUCCCCUCACCAUCCAAACUCUUUGUUAUGAUUUUGUUCCUGAAGAUAAUUUUAGAAAAUCAUUUCUAUAUGAUGGGAACACACACUUGCCCCUGGUUCUUGACAGCUCAAAGUGUUCAAGAUGGGGACUUCUCUAAACAAGUGGCUUAAUGUGAAGAUGAUUUUGAAUGUUUGGAAAUUCCAUGCUGGAUGUGUGGAAUGAAAGUGUCACUAUGUUAGGAGUGAGCUGUUAGUAUAAUGAAGACAAAACGGUAUGGGGACCAUCCCCUUGGGAGCAACUGUGAACCACAGGGGAAGAAUUCCAAACAACGGCAAGAAGGGCCAUUUGCCAGCACCAACACCAGAAGCUGGAAAUCUGUAGCAGUUUUGAGCAGAAGGCCUCACUUUCAAAUACCAUUACCUUGGGGUUAGGAUUUCAACACAAGAAUUUUGGGAAGACAUGACCAUUCAGACUGAAAAACACAUUGUUUCUAAGUUAUGUGUAGAAAGUUCAGUUAUUGAUGUCUAGCAGCUAUUACAAAAUAUGAGACUGAAUAUAGAAAAUUACAAUUUAAUGAUCUGCAUUGGGGAGGCAUCCACACAUAGGUUAUAGGUUGAAGAUAGAGGAGUAUGCGUAGCAUACUAGUCUAUGUAAUGGUCUGUCUUGGUUUAAACUCCAGUUCUGCCACUUUAUUAACUAAUUUGUGACUCAGUGCUCUCAUCUGAAAACACGUAAAAUAAGAAUAUCCAUCUAAAAUGAUUGUUACAAGGAUUAAAUAAGUUAAUAUUUGUAAUGUGAUUAUAACAGAUCUUGGCACAUAGUAAUCUAUAUAUCUAUCUAGAUCUAAAUGUAAUUUUACUAUAUAAAUGAAAUUUAAAAAGGGGAAUAAAUGGAGAACUUCUCUGGGAGAAUACUGAGAGAGAAGAGAAGAGGGCUGAGAAUUGGGGCAACCAAUGUUUUAAAAAAAAAAAAGCAAAAGAAAAGGAGUCAGUGAAGGAGACAGAGUGAUGAGGGAGGCGGGGGAAAAACUCCAGAGUGGUGUCCUGGAAGCCUAGGAGAAGUUUGCCACAUUGCAGACUUCAGGCAGGAAUGUAAACCUUGAGAUGGCGGGUGCUGCAUUUACUUUGUUCUCUGCUGAAUCCUCUGGCCUUAGCACAGUGCCUGAUAUAUAGCAGGUGCCCAGUAAAUAUUUGGCAAAUGAAAAUGCCAAAGAGAAGUUGGAAAGAUAAGGGCCUGAAUAUGUUUAUUUAUGUUUAACAAAAAUAGGUUAGUUGGGGACUUAGACCUCCCUAUAUAGUGCCAUACUGGCGUCAGAACUUGAUGUUAAAAUAUUCUUACUUUAUGAUUUAACCCAUACAGCUAUUGCCUGUUAUGACCAUGGUUUCAUUAUAAUUUUUUGAAACUGGCCCCAAAGUCUCUUUUUUUAAAAUAACUGCAUUCUGCCUAUGAUCACAGGCAUAUUUUUAGCCUUUUUCUAAAUGCCAAAAUUAGUCAUUAGAUAGAAGAACUGGUCAUCAACCAGGCCAGUGAAUGACUCAAGAUUCCGUCAUUUGACCUCAUAUUGAAAAUAUGAAGGCCAAACCGAGUCUGACAACCAGCACUGCUUUCUGCGUUUCAUUUUUACUGUACAGAAAAACAAUCAUCUAAAAUAUUGAUUUUUCUUUUAUUUGAGUAUGUGGCAGGCAGUACAUUGCCCUUUACUACAAAUGGACUGGUUGUAAAAAUCUCCACACGAGGAGGUAGUUAAGACUGAAUCCUACCACUGUAUUUCUGAACUCCUUAGACUAAUGGAUUCCAUUGAAUUGGUCUCAGAUUAAAUUUCUCUAACUAUUAAAUUAAUUUUUCUACUUCCUUGCUCAAAAACUCUCCAUGGAAUACAUAUCAAGCCUCUUUAAUCUGGCCAAACUCCUUUUUUUCUGAAUUCCCCCUGUGUAAACUCUAUGCUACGGUCACACUAGUCUACUUUCUUUUCUCAAAUUCUUGGUUCUCACUUGUGUAUCUUUUGUUAGAUUUACUCCUAGAUAUCAUAUAGUAUUGAAAUAUUUUCUCUGUCAUAUUAUUCAGUGGAUUGUGACUGGUGCUUAGGAAUGUGCCCCCAAAUUUUGUAUGCAGCUCUUUUACCCAUGAAUCCGUAGAUAAUUUUCAAUUUCUAAUGGCUGAAUAUAGAAGCUAUUGAAUUUUUUGUGUGGACAGAUCAUAUGUUUCACAAAUAAUGAUAGUUAGGUCUCUGUUUUUCCAAUUAUUAUACCAAAAAUUUCAUUGGCUUUCAUUUACUAGAACUUACACUAAAAUGUUCAAUAGAAGUAGCAGUAGUUGGCAACCUUGUCUUUUUCACGACAUGUAAAGGAAUGCUUUUCAAAUGUCAUCAUUAAGCUACUUGGUUAAUAAUGACAUAUAUGUGAGUCAGCAUGUUGAAUGGUUAAGAGCUACAACUCUGGACCAAUCUGGCUGGGCUUAAAUUCUAGCUCUGCUACUUAGCUGCGGUGUUACAUUGGAUAAAUUAACUCUGUUUUCCUCAUGUGUAAUAUGGGGAAUGAUAGCAUCUAAAUCAUAGAAUUGUUGUAAAGAUUCAAUGAGAUAAUACUUACAAAGUGCUUAAAACUAUCUGACACAUACCAGCAUGAUAUAAGUGUUUCUUAUAUAAAUAUAUUGAGGUAAUCGUUUGAAAUCUCCCAUUUAAUAUACUACUUUAAUUGAUAUUAUUAUAUAGAAUAGCUGUUAAAUUCUUGGAGUCAGCCAUAUAGAAUUAUGAAUUUAAAAAAUAUAUAGUUCAUUUCUAGUCAAUAUUGUACUGGAGGUUCUAAUCAGUACAAUUAAGCAAGAAAAAGUAAUAAAAGGCACACGGAUCAGAAAAAAAGAGGUAAAACUAUAUGCACAGAUGGCAUAAUGUUGUACACAGAAAUCAUAAAAAAUCCACAAAACUAUUAGAGCUAAUAAGCACAUUCAGCAAGGUUGCAGAGUACAAGAUUAAUAUACAAAAAUGAGUUGUAUUUCUAUACACUAGCAAUAAACAUUCAAAAAGGAAGUUAGCAAAACAAUUCCACUGAUAGUAACAUCAAGAAUAAUAAUAUGUUUAAGAAUAGAGGGAACAAAAAAAUAUGAGAUUUAUAAACCUAAAAUGAUACAGCAUUUUUAAAGAAAUUAAGAAAUAGCUAAAUAAAUGGAAAGAUAUCUCUUACUUGUGGAUCAGAAGAAUUAAUCUUAAGGUAGACAUACUCCCCAAACUGAUCUGUAGCAACACAAUCACUACCAAAAUUCUAUCUGCUUUUUUUUUUAAAGAAAUAAACUGAUUCUAAAAUUGCUGAUUUCAAAAAUUACUAGAAUGCUAUAGUAAUCAAGGUAUUGUGGCACUGGCAUAAGGAUAGACAUAUGAUCAAGGGAAUAGAAUAUAGAGUCCAGAAAUAAACCCUUAUAUUUAAGGUCAAUUUAUUUUUGACAAGAGUGCCAAGAUAACUUGAUUAAGAAUAGUCUUUUCAAUAAAUGCUGAUGUGACAACUGGAUACCCAUGUGUAAAAGAAUGACUUUGGAAUUGAGUUACAACAUAUACAAAUAUUAACUCAAAAAUGGGUCAACAACCUAAAUACAAGAGCAAAAACCUUCAAACUCUAGGAAAAAAAUUAUAAAAGUAAAUCCUUGUGAGCUUGGAUGAGGCAAUGUUUUCUUAGAUAUGACACCAAAAGCACAUAAGCACCAGAAGAAAAGAAUUGGACUGCAUCAAAUUAAAAACUUUUGAGCUUCAAAGGACAUUAUCAAGAAACUGAUAAGACAAACAACAGAGUGGAUGAAAAUAUUUGCAAAUCAUAUACUUGAGAAGGUACCAGUAUCCAGAAUACAUGAAGAACCUUUGUAAAUCAACAAUAAAAAGAAAUAAUUCAAUUUAAAAACCCUGGGCAAGGGAUUUGAAUAGACA